This 381-nucleotide ribosomal RNA is filed under the name uncultured bacterium. RNAcentral describes it as "bacterial SSU rRNA". It matches the Rfam family "Bacterial small subunit ribosomal RNA", at positions 524 to 903 of the family's 1533-position model. The record is from RNAcentral.
UACGGAGGGUGCAAGCGUUAAUCGGAAUUACUGGGCGUAAAGCGCACGCAGGCGGUUCGUUAAGUCAGAUGUGAAAUCCCUGGGCUCAUCCUGGGAACUGCAUCUGAUACUGGCAAGCUUGAGUCUCGUAGAGGGGGGGUAGAAUUCCAGGUGUAGCGGUGAAAUGCGUAGAGAUCUGGAGGAAUACCGGUGGCGAAGGCGGCCCCCUGGACGAAGACUGACGCUCAGGUGCGAAAGCGUGGGGAGCAAACAGGAUUAGAUACCCUGGUAGUCCACGCCGUAAACGAUGUCGACUUGGAGGUUGUGCCCUUGAGGCGUGGCUACCGGAGCUAACGCGUUAAGUCGACCGCCUGGGGAGUACGGCCGCAAGGUUAAAACUCA